This 429-nucleotide ribosomal RNA is filed under the name Chloroflexota bacterium. RNAcentral describes it as "Chloroflexi bacterium partial 16S ribosomal RNA". It matches the Rfam family "Bacterial small subunit ribosomal RNA", at positions 355 to 776 of the family's 1533-position model. Lineage: Bacteria; Bacillati; Chloroflexota. The record is from RNAcentral.
UGGGGAAUAUUGCACAAUGGGCGCAAGCCUGAUGCAGCCAUGCCGCGUGUGUGAAGAAGGCCUUCGGGUUGUAAAGCACUUUCAGCGGGGAGGAAGGCGGUGAGGUUAAUAACCUCAUCGAUUGACGUUACCCGCAGAAGAAGCACCGGCUAACUCCGUGCCAGCAGCCGCGGUAAUACGGAGGGUGCAAGCGUUAAUCGGAAUUACUGGGCGUAAAGCGCACGCAGGCGGUCUGUCAAGUCGGAUGUGAAAUCCCCGGGCUCAACCUGGGAACUGCAUUCGAAACUGGUAGGCUAGAGUCUUGUAGAGGGGGGUAGAAUUCCAGGUGUAGCGGUGAAAUGCGUAGAGAUCUGGAGGAAUACCGGUGGCGAAGGCGGCCCCCUGGACAAAGACUGACGCUCAGGUGCGAAAGCGUGGGGAGCAAACAGG